AGAAUAUAAUAUCUCGAUUUUUAAUUUUUAACUGAAAAUGUUAAGAGUCGGUUCUUAAAUAAGAGAUUUAAUAACCGAUUCUUAACUUUUUCAGUUAAAAGUUAAGAGUCGGGUUAUUAUAUUCU
This 125-nucleotide microRNA precursor is filed under the name Brassica oleracea var. oleracea. RNAcentral describes it as "MIR9563 microRNA precursor family". It matches the Rfam family "MIR9563 microRNA precursor family". Lineage: Eukaryota; Viridiplantae; Streptophyta; Magnoliopsida; Brassicales; Brassicaceae. The record is from Rfam by way of RNAcentral.